RNAcentral lists this ribosomal RNA (253 nucleotides) under uncultured bacterium. RNAcentral describes it as "partial 16S ribosomal RNA". It matches the Rfam family "Bacterial small subunit ribosomal RNA", at positions 524 to 776 of the family's 1533-position model. The record is from RNAcentral.
UACGUAGGUGGCGAGCGUUGUCCGGAUUUACUGGGCGUAAAGAGCGCGCAGGCGGUCGUGCAAGUCGCGUGUGAAAGCCCCCGGCUCAACUGGGGAGGGUCACGCGAUACUGUUCGACUUGAAGGCAGGAGAGGGAAGUGGAAUUCCCGGUGUAGUGGUGAAAUGCGUAGAUAUCGGGAGGAACACCAGUGGCGAAGGCGACUUCCUGGCCUGUUCUUGACGCUGAGGCGCGAAAGCUAGGGUAGCAAACGGG